Molecule: unclassified non-coding RNA, 333 nt
Filed under: Hevea brasiliensis (rubber tree)
Lineage: Eukaryota; Viridiplantae; Streptophyta; Magnoliopsida; Malpighiales; Euphorbiaceae
Source: RNAcentral
GCUAAGAAUCCAAGUGUUGAAUAGAAGAAGUCUGGCCUGGUAGCAAGAAUGCUCUCAAACCAAAUUACAAAUUUCACAAUCUUAUUUAUUUAUUUUUGCAAUUGCUCUAAAUUUAAUAUGAUACCUAAAAGCUUUUAAAUCCCCAUCAACCUAAAAUUUAAAAUUGCUUCAUCUACUUUUGUAGCUUAACUAAUGGUUUAAAAUCAUGGUUGUGGUUGUGGAAUGCAGUUGGGUGACUUUCUUGAUCUCCCUCCAAUAAGCAAGUUGCCUCUAAUGCAUGGUUUACUAGAAUUUGAAAUGCUGCUAUGCUAAUAUUUUCAAUGAAUUUUAAUG